Pogona vitticeps (central bearded dragon) is the source of this 1080-nucleotide non-coding RNA. Lineage: Eukaryota; Metazoa; Chordata; Lepidosauria; Squamata; Agamidae. The record is from RefSeq and is a predicted model, not a curated record.
GACAGCUGGCAGAGAGUCAGAAACCAAGGCUGUUGUGGUCAUCAUGGGACUACUAGAAUGGCACUGGCUCUGUCCUGAUGGAGACAGACAACUACCCUGUGGAGGAGUGGGAACAGCAGAAAGAGGUAGGGUUAGUGACAGAGGCGUGAUAGUGUGAGAUAGUGGAAGAAGCUGGCGGAAUUGUAUGUGGUACCCCCACUCUAUGAUGGAGAGGACCCACAGAUUUGUGGUGAUGUUCCUCCAUGCAGAGAAAAGACUCACAGAAGCUAUGAGUGAGUCUCUCAACACAGCGGGUGAAGAGAAACUGAAGGGAGAGCCUUGGCGCCAAGGUAUAUAUACUAGGAGGGAGGAGCUUGUACUAAUGUGUCUUUCCUGACCACAGAAGCUCUAUAAUGUUCCAACAAGGCUCUGCGCAUGUGCAGAUCACCCAGAGUGUGAUUCAUAAGAGGCCAUGAACAAGUAGUCCUUUCUCUGUUCUACAAUUUAUUCCACUGACAAUUCAAAAAAUAUAGGAAAGAGGAAAAAAAGCUUCUCCAUACUGCAGAAUUUUAUAAAUCUUUUAUAAAAUCACACCGGAAUCUCCUUUGCUUAGCCUUUGUUUGUAAUACUUUUUCUUCACUAAGACCACCCAAACAGUUUACUGCAGUCACUCGCUUGCCCCUUUUUGAUUUGCCUGACCAUGAGUAUGGUACAGGAGCUGGGGGUGACAGGAAGACACAUUAGCCUUUCCUGACUGCACUCCGAAUUAGCUGAAGCAUAAUAUAUACUCUCUGGGAUGGGCAGUAUUAUAAAAUGCAAACCAAAAGAUUGCAUGAAAUUGAUUAAAGCCUAGGAGCUAAGGGACUAAGGCUUGUGAAAUCUCCUUAUUACUGGACAAAUUUCUCAGAUAUUUGACUGGGAUGAUAUUUGGGGAAGAACAUGAUGAAGCUAGUGGUAUAGUGAAAUGAACUCUUCAUUUAGCUUCAAUGGAAUAUACCUAUAUAUUAAAGAGGCUAUCACCGCACUAUUAAAUACCCACUGACUUUCUUUCCAACAACCAGGAUUUCUGCAUUUUUAUACUACGUAUAAAUAUUUGUCAUG